Oreochromis aureus is the source of this 628-nucleotide long non-coding RNA. The record is from Ensembl. Lineage: Eukaryota; Metazoa; Chordata; Actinopteri; Cichliformes; Cichlidae.
UUUGUAGAUUUUUUUCCUGCACCUAACUACAGUAAAUGUUCUGUUCUUGUGCUUAAGUUGUCUGGGGUCCAUUCUUUCAUUAGUGUUUACGUGUAACCUGCAGGCAAGGGGUUUACGGUUAGUUUCCCUGAUUCCUGUCCAUACCAGAACCAUUGUGGAAUCUGUUCUAAUAACGAACCCAACACCCAACAUAGUGGGUCUAAACUGAUGUAGGAGGGUUUAGACUCAGUAUAACAGGUGUCUGACACAUCUUCUUGUGGAUCUGGUUACCCACUAGCAGAGAAUGCACAGAAAACUUUCCUUACCAUUACUUAAAAUGAUAAACCUGUAAUACCACAAGUUCAUCACACCAAACCUCAUUAGAUCUAAGAACAACUGGUGUGGUGCAAGUUCCUGUUUCACUUCCUCAGCAAGCUGUAAGUAUCAGUACUUCUUGACCAUGGUCACUUGACCUUUUGUUUUCUUCUGCAUACAUAGGAAAACUAUGUUUUAGAAAGGUCCUUCUCUAGAUAUCAUCUAAUGUCAGUCAUUCAGUUACAGCACACAAUUUGUAUCUGUUUCUAUUUUUUCAUUUUUAAAAAUACAUACGAUAUUAGAACUGUCUUCACAGACAGACUCUUAAAUGACU